This is a long non-coding RNA of Myodes glareolus (Bank vole), 1373 nucleotides long. RefSeq lists it as uncharacterized. The record is from RefSeq and is a predicted model, not a curated record. Lineage: Eukaryota; Metazoa; Chordata; Mammalia; Rodentia; Cricetidae.
GGGACAUUGGGUGCUGUCAGAGUCAUCCAGGAAAAGUUGAAGGCUACAGUGGAAGACUCUCUCCUUGUUUGUAGACAGUGACCUGAGUUCCACGCACUGCCCAGAGCCACCUUUGAAGAGGCUGCCCCGCCCGUAUGUAUAGCAGCUGCUGCCUCCUUGAAUUCCUGCCUCGGCUGCUUCUGCCGCUCCAGAGCAGACUGCAUUUCUCUCCAGGGCAAGAUGGAGGUGUCUCCCAACCAGUGGUUGCUGUAGCAGACGCCCUGGAACUGGAGAAAUUAGAAAGGAAGAUGUCUACUUAAGUCAUAGUUCUGGAAGCUGGAAAUUCGAGACUGGACAGCCGCAUGUUACUGGGUCAUGACUGUGGACAAGCGGGAAGAGGGGCUGACAGCAUCACCUGAGGAGGAGAGUGACAUCAGACUUCAUAUGCCACACCCACAGUUGGAGAUCUGCUGGUGAAAGUGCUCUUUAAAUAUGCUAGGGGUCCUGGGGAUUGAUCACCAAUCAUCAAUCAAGAAAAUUCACCACAGGCUUGUCUACCAGAUCUCAGGUGCCUUUACCCCAAGCCAUCGCACCAGCUAGAAAUGAAAGUUCUUAUGAUCAAAGCUUGUGGGCUGUGGUAGUAGGAGAGAAACGACUUCUGCAUGUUGUCUUUGGGUCUCAACAGGAACGGCAUGGCACAUAUACCCCCCUUUAAAUAAAUAAAUAGAAUAAUGAUAAUAAGAUCAAAGUUUGCUAAAGGAUAAAAGGCAUUGGCCAGGAAGCCUGUAACCCAGAGUAAGGUAGGGAACAGACAAAAUGGAGGGCUCAUAAUUUCACUUUAAUUAUGCUUUAAAUGGCUCUCUCUAGUCCGGUGAGUACCAAGCCUCUUAGUACCAACCAAACAACUCUACUUUGUCUCAGAGGGCCUGCUUUCCUUAUGGUACAUCUUCCCUUUGGCAUCCAUGAUGUGCUGGCUCACUCCAUGGCAACUUGACACAAGCCUAGAGUCAUUUGGAAAAAGGGAACCUCAACUGAAAAAAUGUUCCCGCUAAACUGCCUGUGGACAAGCCUGCGGUGCAUUUGCUUGAUGGAAGACUGAUCUGAAAGGGCCCAGUUCACCCCAGAAUCAUGCCACCCCAGGCUAGUGGCUGAGCAAGCCAUGGAGAGCAAGUCAGCAAAGGGAACUCCUUUAUGGCUCUGCUUCUCUUCCUCCCUCCAAGUUCCUGCUGAAACUUCCCUGUCAAUGGACCAUUUCCUGGAAGUGUAAGACGAAAUAAAUGUUUUCCUCUUCAAGUUACUUUUGGUUAUGGUGGGGCUUGUUGUUGUUAUUUUUGUUGUUUUGUUUUGUUUUGAUAGCAGUGGGGAAAUUGGUCCAGACCUGAGUACCCAAACCC